ACCUUCUGUGGUGUAGUGGUAGCGCCUUGGCUUAGUAAUCAUAAGUCUUAGGUUCGAGUCAUAGUUGGGGUA
This is a non-coding RNA of Halocaridina rubra (Hawaiian volcano shrimp), 72 nucleotides long. The record is from the annotation of a GenBank genome assembly. Lineage: Eukaryota; Metazoa; Arthropoda; Malacostraca; Decapoda; Atyidae.